This 75-nucleotide transfer RNA is filed under the name Sphaerodactylus townsendi. RNAcentral describes it as "tRNA-Ala". Lineage: Eukaryota; Metazoa; Chordata; Lepidosauria; Squamata; Sphaerodactylidae. The record is from RNAcentral.
AAGGGUGUGAUGGCUCAGUGGCAGAACACCAGUUUUGCAUGCAGCAGGUCUCAGGUUCGAUCCCUGGCAUCUUCC